Molecule: ribosomal RNA, 253 nt
Filed under: uncultured bacterium
Lineage: Bacteria
Description: partial 16S ribosomal RNA
Rfam family: Bacterial small subunit ribosomal RNA
Source: RNAcentral
UACAGAGGUCCCGAGCGUUGUUCGGAUUCAUUGGGCGUAAAGGGUGCGUAGGCGGUCUUCUAAGUUUGAUGUGAAAUCCCGGGGCUCAACCCUGGAAUUGCAUUGAAUACUGGAGGACUAGAGUACCGGAGAGGAAACUGGAAUUUACGGUGUAGCAGUGAAAUGCGUAGAGAUCGUAAGGAAGACCAGUGGCGAAGGCGGUCUGCUGGGGUGAUGCUGACACUGAUGCGCGACAGCGUGGGGAGCAAACAGG